This 439-nucleotide ribosomal RNA is filed under the name uncultured bacterium. Its description in RNAcentral is "partial 16S ribosomal RNA". It matches the Rfam family "Bacterial small subunit ribosomal RNA", at positions 339 to 795 of the family's 1533-position model. The record is from RNAcentral.
CUACGGGUGGCAGCAGUGGGGAAUAUUGCACAAUGGAGGAAACUCUGAUGCAGCAACGCCGCGUGGAGGAUGACACUUUUCGGAGCGUAAACUCCUUUUAUAUAGGAAGAUAAUGACGGUACUAUAUGAAUAAGCACCGGCUAACUCCGUGCCAGCAGCCGCGGUAAUACGGAGGGUGCAAGCGUUACUCGGAAUCACUGGGCGUAAAGAGCGUGUAGGCGGGUUAAUAAGUCAGAAGUGAAAUCCUAUGGCUCAACCAUAGAACUGCUUUUGAAACUGUUAACCUAGAAUAUGGGAGAGGUAGAUGGAAUUUCUGGUGUAGGGGUAAAAUCCGUAGAGAUCAGAAGGAAUACCGAUUGCGAAGGCGAUCUACUGGAACAUUAUUGACGCUGAGACGCGAAAGCGUGGGGAGCAAACAGGAUUAGAUACCCCUGUAGUC